AACUCAGUCAGAGGAAAGUCUUGUUAGAGUUAACUCUUAAAUUUAUUUAAAUUUAAAGGUAUUUUUCUUAGUUAAUUUGGCCAAUUUCUUUAAUUCUUCAAACAACAACAACAACAACAACCCGAGCCUUUUGAAUUCAGCUUGGGUGUGUGAGUGAGUGUGAGUCAGCAGCUGAGCGCUCUGCAGAGGAGGCUAAUAGAUCGCUCCCAGCCGGCCGUUUUCUCUAAGUGCAGCCAGGAUCACAGGAAAGGCUUGGGGAAGCCUUUUAAAGCAUCGGGGGAGUCCGAGGCUUCGGAUUUCGUCGCGGAUUGCUGCAGGAGUGAGAGCGUGCUGACCGCAUGGCCAAUAGUCACCAUUUCGCUGGUGGCGGCCAUUUUGUUUGGGCUUAAAGGCACAGCAAACUAUUGUGGAAGGCAGCUGGGCGAAAACUGAGAGGAUUGCAGCUUUGGAGAGCUGGAUCUGCUUCUGCUCACGCAAGUAAACAUGUUCCAGUAUUUUUUUCUACAAUUGUGGCCUUGGCAACAAUUUACUUGGGCUGCCCUUUCUUGCUGCUGCUGCUGCCUGGUUAUUGUAACCGUGUUGCUGGUUUAGCAAUUCAUUAUAAGCUCUGAACUGCCCAGUGAGUAAUCCUUUUAUAUUUGCCUUAUUUUGAUUGUUAUAUUGUGUCCAUUAUGGCCAAUAGUAGCGAUUCUGAGGAAACUUAUGCUCCUCAACCUCAGCCUGAAGGCUCUAGAAGAUUGAGAUCCAGCAAGCUUUCUGCUAACACCCAGGCUAAUCAAUCUAAAUCAUUUGCAGCUGCUGAUAAAGAUGCCUUGAGAAGACAAAAAGCUUUAGAAAAACAGUUUGCAAAAGCUCAACUGCAGGCUGUUUCUGCUGCUUCUAAAUCCCCUGUGGGGUCAGGGGAUCAAGGUGGGGCUCCCCAUAUUUUUCCCACUGUUAUUAUAAAUCAAGGGCCUCAAGAGGAGCAACCUAACUGGUCUCCCACUGUUGUUCAGGAACAACAGGAGUUUCACGCUGUUCCUUUUCAGGAAGGUCAUGUCUUGCCUACUCCUGUGCCUUCCCAGGCCCCAGAUGUUCAGGGCCCUGCUCCCUCAGCUACUUUUAUGCCCACAGCAGCAGGGCUCCGCCCACAGGAGCCUGCACAGCAGGUUUUGUCCUCAGACUUAUGUUUUGCCAUUUGCAAACCAUUACUCAGGGCAUUGAUGAGGCAUUAGCCCAGAGGGGUUUUCCAGCUCCUGCUCACCCAAGGCCUUCCAGGGCAGACCCUGUGACUCAGCUAGCUGGACAUAGGGAUUACAGGGAGGAAUCCUAUCAGGAUACUCAAUCUAUUCACAGUGAAGAUUCCCUGGUAGGUGAGGAGGAAUUAGGUGAAUUUGAGAUGUCUGGGGAUGAAGGCCUUUCUCAGGAUAAGCCUACUUAUUCUGGUUUAUUCAAACCUCACCUUUUCAGAACAUUAUUAAUGAAGGCUAAGAUGACUGCUAAUAUGGGCCAGGUGGAUAAAUCUACUUCUGCCCCUAGGGAUUCUCAGGAUUUGUGUUUUCAGAACAGGUCACUACUCAGGAGGUUAUCCCAUCUCCACAGUUCUUUGUGGAUACAAUUAAGAGGCAAUGGGAUCACCCUAUUUCUGUUUCUCCUCCUAGUGGCAUGGAUAAGGAGUUGUUUUCUGUAGAGAAGGAACUUCUCCAGAUUCCUACUGUGGAUUCCCCCUUGACUAAUUUGGCUUCGGCCUCUAUUCUUCCCUCUGAUAAUGCAGAAGGAUUGAAAUCUGAGGAUAGGAAGGCAGAUUUGGCGGCACGCAAAACUCAUCAGGCCGCGGCUUGGGCGAUUAGAUCUGCUACUGCGGCUUCCUUCAUGGCCAGAACUUCACUCCUCUGGUUCAAACAGCUUCAGACCAGGGUUUCCCCUAAGGAUACCCGCCUGCAACAGGACCUUAGUAAGUUGAUUGCCGCUUCUGAAUACAUAGCUGAUGCCUCCAUUACUGCGGCAAAAUUCACAUCCAGGGCUUUAGCUUCCAAUGUGGCGUCUAGACGCUUGUUAUGGCUACGCCAAUGGCAAGCAGAUGUUAGGUCUAAGGGCCGGCUGGCAGCUGCACCUUUUAAAGGACAACAGCUGUUUGGUGAUGUGUUAGAUCCCAUCCUAGUAGAAGGGAAGGACAAGAGGAAGGUGUUGCCACAGCUGAAUAGGAGAUAUGAUAGGAGACAGGCUCUUUACUAUCGUGGGCAGUCCUUUCGGAGUGCGGAGGCGGGGAUCUCCGCCUCCCAAUCUCAGCGACCAUAUUUCCAGGGAGGAGAUAGACCUCAUGACAGAUCAGGAUUCUGAGAUAGAUCUCGGCAAUCACAGUCCAGAGGCCACUACAGGGGUUCAGGGGGACGCCCCUAUCAUCGUUCCAAGUGAGUCUUGGACCCACAUUCCCAUUGGCGGCAGGUUGAAGGUGUUUGCCGACCAGUGGAGGAAUUCCACCACAGACGCAUGGGCUUUACAAACUGUGACUCUCGGACUAACACUAGAAUUUUGUUCCAGACCCCCUCAUCGUUUCAUUCAGUGUCCAGUUCCCAGGGAUGCCACCAAGAGGGCCAUGAUGGAGACCGAAAUUCAGCAUUUGCUGGAUAUCGCUGCCAUAGAACCGGUACCGAUUUGUCAAAGGGGUUUUGGAUUCUACUCCAUGCUCUUUCUGGUGCCAAAGCGUUCGGGGGGCCAAAGGGCUAUUUUGAACCUGAAAGACCUCAACGUUCACAUUCAUUACAAAAGGUUCAAGAUGCAUUCUCUGCAUUCGAUCCUGGGAGGGGAUCUCUUAACAUCAAUAGACCUCAAGGAGGCUUACCUUCAUGUGCCCAUAAGGUUAUCCCACAGGAAGUUUCUCAGGUUUGCCUUUGCGGGCUGUCAUUGGCAAUACCGGGCCCUUCCCUUCGGCCUAUCAUCAGCACCCCGCACCUUCACCAAAUUACUAGACGUGGUGGCAGCUCGUUUGCGGGCCCAUCCAGUCCGCCUGCAGUGUUACCUGGACGAUGUGCUGAUCCAGUCAUCGUCUCCCAGUCAGGCACAGCGAGACCUUCAUUUUACCAUCCAGACCCUGCAGGAUCAUGGCUUCUCAGUAAACUGGGAGAAAAGCCAUCUGACUCCAUCCACCAGACUGGUGCAUUUGGGGGCGGUAAUAGACACCCAGUUAUCUCAGGUGUUUCUGUCGCAGGAACGCAAGGACAGCAUCAGACAGUUGAUAGGGCAGAUUCAGGCGUCUGGCUCUGUGCCCCUUCUUCUCCUGUCUCAACUAUUGGGAAAGAUGAUAUCUUGCCUUGCCAUAGUUCCCUGGGCUCGGUUUCAUACCAGAGCCUUACAAUGGUUCCUACUACCCAGUCAGAAGUCAGGGAGCAGCAAUUCUCUAGGCAAGGUCAGAGUUUCUCCACAGGUGCUUCGCUCCUUGGACUGGUGGCUGUCGGUAGCCUUGGAGAAAGGAUGCCUGUUUCGGGACCCUCCCAGACUGGUCUUGAUGUCGGACGCCAGUCUCUUCGGUUGGGGAGAGCAUCUGGGAGCCUCCAUGACGCAAAGGCGUUGGUCUCAGGAAGAUCUCCAGAACGACGACAACAGGCUGGAGCUGAAGGCAGCGCACCUGGCGCUUCAACACUUUCGGGCCGAGCUGUAGGAUCAACAUGUUCUCCUUUUCACAGACAAUGUUACGGCCAAGGCGCAUGUCAACCGGCAGGGCAGCACCUGUUCGAAGGUCCUCAUGCGCGAGGCGAGGCGGCUGUGUCUCUGGGCGGAACGACAUCUUCGGUCCUUGAAAGCAGAACACAUCACCGGGACGUCCAACUCCACGGCAGAUUGGUUGAGCCAGACUACGAUAGACCAGUCCGAAUGGCAUCUUCACCCGGACCUGUUUCAUCUCAUCACUGUUCAUUUCGGGGACCCGAUCCUGGACUUGUUUGCUACCCCUCAGAAUGCUCAUCUUCCGAGGUUUUUCACCAGAUUUUGGACUCCAGCGGCUGAAGGAGUCAAUGCCCUUCGCUGCCCGUGGCUGACCGGGUUGCUGUACGCAUUUCCCUCGAUUCCCCUGCUCCAGAAGGUGAUCGGGAAGAUUCUGGUGGAAUGGGCGGAGGUGUUACUAGUGGUGCCGUACUGGCCGAGACGUCCAUGGUUCGCAGACCUCAUGUCCCUUUUGACGGAACGCCCCUGAAGUUUGCCACCGCACCGGGUCUCCCUCAGUCAGGGCACUCUUCAACAUCCAGACCCCCAAUGGCUCCAGUUAAUCACCUGGCGAUUGAGCGGGAAGCUCUCCAGAGGGAACACUACCCCUCUGAGGUAAUUUCCUUCUCGGAAGCAGUCAACGCUUCGCAUCUAUCAGGCCACCUGGGCGGUGUUUUGUCGCUGGUGCGCAAAGAAUUCUUUUGUACCAACAGCUGCGACGGUCCCGCAGGUUCUCGCCUUUUUGCAGCACGGCUUGAAGAAGAAGCUGUCCACUAAUACACUGCGUCGUCAGGUUGCUGCCUUGGCAACUGUUUUACCAGGUGAGGGUCCUAUUCCCCUUUCACACCAUCCCAAGGUUCGCAGUUUCUUGAAAGGUGCUGCCAACUUGUUGCCGCCCGUGGUCCACCGUUACCCAACUUGGGACCUUUCUCUAGUUUUGCAGGCGCUCACCUCGCCUCCUUUUGAACCUUUAAGAUCUUCCACUCUUCAGUUAUUCACAUUUAAAGUUGCCUUUUUAGUGGCUAUUACUUCUGCACGCAGAGUUUCCGAGUUGGCGGUGCUUUCGGUCCGCCAGGAUUUGUGCAUUUUUCAUCUGGACUGGGUCAUUUUAAGACUGGACCCUACGUUUGUUCCAAAAGUUAAUUCUUGGUUCCAUAGGGCACAGGAACUUAUUUUACCAGAUUUUUGCCCUAAUCCUAGGAAUCAGACUGAGAAGCGCUGGCAUACCCUUGAUGUGCGCAGAGCCUUGCGAUGCUAUGUCAAAAGGACGGCCUCAUUUCAACAGACGGAGGCCCUGUUUGUUUCGUUUCAGCCCAGGUCAAUGGGGAAGAAGGUUUCACCAUCUACAGUUGGUCGCUGGCUCAAGGCUUGCAUCGCAUUGGCCUAUGAACAUCAAGCUUGUCCAGUGCCGUGUUGCAUUACGGCACACUCUACUUGUAGUGUGGCCACUUCAGCUGCUUGGGCUACGCAAGCCUCCAUCUUGGAGAUCUGCAGAGCCGCUACUUGGACCUCUCCUUCGCCAUUCGUGAGGCACUACAAGUUGGACCAGUUCGCAUCAGCCGAAACAGCGUUUGGAAGGCGUGUCUUACAGAGAGUCCUACCGGCCGAGGGGACCCUGGACCGAUCUGCUUCCCUCCCUUCUUCGACUUAGCUUGGGUAUAUCCCAGGCUUGGACACUCCAAGCAGUGCACAGGAGAUUGAACGUUGGGCUUACCUUGAACGUUCCAUCUAGGUGCACUGCUGGAGUGUCCAAAUUCCAUCCUGGCUUGUGCUGGUCCGGGGUCCAGGAGUGGUCGGUUUUGAUCAGAUGGCGUCUUCCAUGGUUCCGUUUUCGUUGAAAAAACUGAAGGCUCGGCUGGAAGAUGGAGGGCGUGGCCAAAGAAAUUCCAACCCAGUGACAUCAUAUCUGACUGACAAGAACCCAGGCUUGGACACUCCAGCAGCGCACCUAGAUGGAACGUUCAAGAUGCCCUAAUGUUUCCCCUUCUUUUCAAACACCAAGUCUACCUGAGAUUGGCCAAUGCACAGACAGUAGCUGUAAAGUCCCAA
This is a non-coding RNA of Pantherophis guttatus, 5727 nucleotides long. The record is from RefSeq and is a predicted model, not a curated record. Lineage: Eukaryota; Metazoa; Chordata; Lepidosauria; Squamata; Colubridae.